RNAcentral lists this ribosomal RNA (520 nucleotides) under uncultured Glomus. RNAcentral's name for it is "SSU rRNA". It matches the Rfam family "Eukaryotic small subunit ribosomal RNA", at positions 569 to 1090 of the family's 1831-position model. The record is from RNAcentral. Lineage: Eukaryota; Fungi; Glomeromycota; Glomeromycetes; Glomerales; Glomeraceae.
AGCAGCCGCGGUAAUUCCAGCUCCAAUAGCGUAUAAUUAAAGUUGUUGCAAGUUAAAAAGCUCGUAGUUGAAUUUCGGGAUUAGUACGUCGGUCGUGCCUUCGGUACGUACUGGUGUUACUGAUUCCUACCUUCUGACGAACCAUCAUGUCAUUAAUUUGGUGUGUCGGGGAAUCAGGACUGUUACUUUAGAAAAAAAUUAGAGUGUUUAAAGCAGGCUCGCGCUUGAAUACAUUAGCAUGGAAUAAUGAAAUAGGACGUUGACCCUAUUUUGUUGGUUUCUAGGAUUGACGUAAUGAUUAAUAGGGAUAGUUGGGGGCAUUAGUAUUCAAUUGUCAGAGGUGAAAUUCUUGGAUUUAUUGAAGACUAACUACUGCGAAAGCAUUUGCCAAGGAUGUUUUCAUUAAUCAAGAACGAAAGUUAGGGGAUCGAAGACGAUCAGAUACCGUCGUAGUCUUAACCAUAAACUAUGCCGACUAGGGAUCGGAUGAUGUUAUUUUAAUGACUCAUUCGGCGCCUUA